UACGUAGGGGGCAAGCGUUGUCCGGAAUCAUUGGGCGUAAAGAGCGUGUAGGCGGCCUGGUAAGUCCGCUGUGAAAGUCCAGGGCUCAACCCUGGAAUGCCGGUGGAAACUGUCAGGCUCGAGUCCGGAAGAGGCGAGUGGAAUUCCUGGUGUAGCGGUGAAAUGCGCAGAUAUCAGGAGGAACACCAAUGGCGAGGGCAGCUCGCUGGGACGGUACUGACGCUGAGACGCGAAAGCGUGGGGAGCAAACAGG
RNAcentral lists this ribosomal RNA (253 nucleotides) under uncultured bacterium. Its description in RNAcentral is "partial 16S ribosomal RNA". It matches the Rfam family "Bacterial small subunit ribosomal RNA", at positions 524 to 776 of the family's 1533-position model. The record is from RNAcentral.